GGGGAAAUAAAUCCUUAUGCAAGAAUAAAUGGUGUGGAGGAGUCUCAAGUAUAGAAAAAUUUCUCCUCUUCCAUAAUCAUAAAUAUCAUAUAUUAAUGGUGUGUGAAAGAAAUAAAUGGAGUGAAAAACAAAGAGAUGUAUUAAAAGAAAGACUUUUCUUUUACCACACCCAUAAAUUUUGGCAUUGAAUUCAGGUGGGUG
Molecule: long non-coding RNA, 201 nt
Filed under: Elaeis guineensis (African oil palm)
Lineage: Eukaryota; Viridiplantae; Streptophyta; Magnoliopsida; Arecales; Arecaceae
Description: long non-coding RNA (EGUI_LNC070317)
Source: RNAcentral